GGAGGAAUACCCAAGCGGCCAAAGGGGACUGACUGUAAAUCAGUUGGCUCAUGCCUUCGGUGGUUCGAAUCCACCUUCCUCCACCA
This 86-nucleotide transfer RNA is filed under the name Pseudomonadota bacterium. Its description in RNAcentral is "tRNA-Tyr". It matches the Rfam family "tRNA". Rfam says of the family: Transfer RNA (tRNA) molecules are approximately 80 nucleotides in length. Their secondary structure includes four short double-helical elements and three loops (D, anti-codon, and T loops). Lineage: Bacteria; Pseudomonadati; Pseudomonadota. RNAcentral also lists the same sequence under 6 other names. The record is from RNAcentral.